GUUUUUCUAUCAAGUUUUUGGUCCUUUGUCCCUUAAUUUUUAAUUCCUUAUAUAGUAAGAACACUAACUGUUUGUCUAUUAUAUAGGCUGGAUAAAUUUUUCUCCCAGUCAUUUGAUUUUAUUGUGUUUUUACUAAGCAUUUUUAUUAUCUUCAUGUAGUCAAAUGUGUCAAUAUUUUGUUGCCACUGGAUAUUUCCACCACGUUUCCUUCUGUAUUUAUAUGGCUUCAUUUUCUUACAUUUGGAUCCUGGAUCCAGAUGGAGUUCAUUCUUGCAUAUGGUGUGAAGUACAGGUCUAACUUCAACUUUCUCCAAGGGGCUUUCCAGUUGGCUCAGCACCAUUUAUUAAAGUCUGCUUUGACCUGCGAUUGAAGAUGCCACCUUUAACUCCUCAUCCCCCACCCCUAAGAAACCUCACGGAACAUAUGACCCAAGAGCAGAG
This 441-nucleotide long non-coding RNA is filed under the name Homo sapiens (human). The record is from RNAcentral. Lineage: Eukaryota; Metazoa; Chordata; Mammalia; Primates; Hominidae.